Molecule: ribosomal RNA, 270 nt
Filed under: Escherichia coli
Lineage: Bacteria; Pseudomonadati; Pseudomonadota; Gammaproteobacteria; Enterobacterales; Enterobacteriaceae
Description: partial 16S ribosomal RNA
Rfam family: Bacterial small subunit ribosomal RNA
Source: RNAcentral
AAAUUGAAGAGUUUGAUCAUGGCUCAGAUUGAACGCUGGCGGCAGGCCUAACACAUGCAAGUCGAACGGUAACAGAAAGCAGCUUGCUGCUUUGCUGACGAGUGGCGGACGGGUGAGUAAUGUCUGGGAAACUGCCUGAUGGAGGGGGAUAACUACUGGAAACGGUAGCUAAUACCGCAUAACGUCGCAAGACCAAAGAGGGGGACCUUCGGGCCUCUUGCCAUCGGAUGUGCCCAGAUGGGAUUAGCUAGUAGGUGGGGUAACGGCUCA